GAGUCAGGGAGAUUUUCAGUUGAGAUUGGAGAUCUUUUCUCUUUGUAUUAAAGCUGUAACAAGUCAAGUAAAUGAACAACACAAAAUUUGCAGUAGCUUGUGUCGCUUUAAUCUUCAUACAGUAUUAAAGUUUAGAAUUAUAUAGGGUCGAUUGUUCGCUCCAUAACGGUACUUACAAAUAUGUUUGAGGUCUAUUUAGCUUAUAUUCAUCAGGUGCGUUCAAAUCGCUUUCGUUGAGACAACUGCUUACAAGGAAGUCAAGUUAAUGUUUUGUGAGGCAUAAGUUUCGAUUCCAAUGUAUUUUUCUAUUUCUACCUUUAAAAUAG
Molecule: long non-coding RNA, 326 nt
Filed under: Brassica napus (rape)
Lineage: Eukaryota; Viridiplantae; Streptophyta; Magnoliopsida; Brassicales; Brassicaceae
Description: long non-coding RNA (BNAP_LNC007441)
Source: RNAcentral